GAGUUUGAUCCUGGCUCAGGAUGAACGCUGGCGGCGUGCCUAACACAUGCAAGUCGAACGGAGUUCUUAAGGAAUGCGGCUUCGGCCAAAUGACUUUUGAACUUAGUGGCGGACGGGUGAGUAACGCGUGAGCAACCUGCCUUUCAGAGGGGGAUAACAUUUGGAAACAGAUGCUAAUACCGCAUAAGAUUACAGUACCGCAUGAUACAGUGAUCAAAGGAGCAAUCCGCUGAAAAGAUGGGCUCGCGUCCGAUUAGAUAGUUGGUGAGGUAACGGACGUCACCAAGUCGACGAUCGGUAGCCGGACGUGAGAGGUUGAACGGCCGACAUUGGGACUGAGAC
Molecule: ribosomal RNA, 342 nt
Filed under: uncultured microorganism
Description: bacterial SSU rRNA
Rfam family: Bacterial small subunit ribosomal RNA
Source: RNAcentral